GGUUAAGCGACUAAGCGUACACGGUGGAUGCCCUGGCAGUCAGAGGCGAUGAAGGACGUGCUAAUCUGCGAUAAGCGUCGGUGAGGUGAUAUGAACCGUUAUAACCGGCGAUUUCCGAAUGGGGAAACCCAGUGUGUUUCGACACACUAUCAUUAACUGAAUCCAUAGGUUAAUGAGGCGAACCGGGGGAACUGAAACAUCUAAGUACCCCGAGGAAAAGAAAUCAACCGAGAUUCCCCCAGUAGCGGCGAGCGAACGGGGAGGAGCCCAGAGCCUGAAUCAGUGUGUGUGUUAGUGGAAGCGUCUGGAAAGGCGCGCGAUACAGGGUGACAGCCCCGUACACAAAAAUGCACAUGCUGUGAGCUCGAUGAGUAGGGCGGGACACGUGGUAUCCUGUCUGAAUAUGGGGGACCAUCCUCCAAGGCUAAAUACUCCUGACUGACCGAUAGUGAACCAGUACCGUGAGGGAAAGGCGAAAAGAACCCCGGCGAGGGGAGUGAAAAAGAACCUGAAACCGUGUACGUACAAGCAGUGGGAGCCUCUUAAUGGGGUGACUGCGUACCUUUUGUAUAAUGGGUCAGCGACUUAUAUUCUGUAGCAAGGUUAACCGAAUAGGGGAGCCGAAGGGAAACCGAGUCUUAACUGGGCGUUAAGUUGCAGGGUAUAGACCCGAAACCCGGUGAUCUAGCCAUGGGCAGGUUGAAGGUUGGGUAACACUAACUGGAGGACCGAACCGACUAAUGUUGAAAAAUUAGCGGAUGACUUGUGGCUGGGGGUGAAAGGCCAAUCAAACCGGGAGAUAGCUGGUUCUCCCCGAAAGCUAUUUAGGUAGCGCCUCGUGAAUUCAUCUCCGGGGGUAGAGCACUGUUUCGGCAAGGGGGUCAUCCCGACUUACCAACCCGAUGCAAACUGCGAAUACCGGAGAAUGUUAUCACGGGAGACACACGGCGGGUGCUAACGUCCGUCGUGAAGAGGGAAACAACCCAGACCGCCAGCUAAGGUCCCAAAGUCAUGGUUAAGUGGGAAACGAUGUGGGAAGGCCCAGACAGCCAGGAUGUUGGCUUAGAAGCAGCCAUCAUUUAAAGAAAGCGUAAUAGCUCACUGGUCGAGUCGGCCUGCGCGGAAGAUGUAACGGGGCUAAACCAUGCACCGAAGCUGCGGCAGCGACACUAUGUGUUGUUGGGUAGGGGAGCGUUCUGUAAGCCUGUGAAGGUGGCCUGUGAGGGUUGCUGGAGGUAUCAGAAGUGCGAAUGCUGACAUAAGUAACGAUAAAGCGGGUGAAAAGCCCGCUCGCCGGAAGACCAAGGGUUCCUGUCCAACGUUAAUCGGGGCAGGGUGAGUCGACCCCUAAGGCGAGGCCGAAAGGCGUAGUCGAUGGGAAACAGGUUAAUAUUCCUGUACUUGGUGUUACUGCGAAGGGGGACGGAGAAGGCUAUGUUGGCCGGGCGACGGUUGUCCCGGUUUAAGCGUGUAGGCUGGUUUUCCAGGCAAAUCCGGAAAACCAAGGCUGAGGCGUGAUGACGAGGCACUACGGUGCUGAAGCGACAAAUGCCCUGCUUCCAGGAAAAGCCUCUAAGCAUCAGGUAACAUCAAAUCGUACCCCAAACCGACACAGGUGGUCAGGUAGAGAAUACCAAGGCGCUUGAGAGAACUCGGGUGAAGGAACUAGGCAAAAUGGUGCCGUAACUUCGGGAGAAGGCACGCUGAUAUGUAGGUGAAGCGACUUGCUCGUGGAGCUGAAAUCAGUCGAAGAUACCAGCUGGCUGCAACUGUUUAUUAAAAACACAGCACUGUGCAAACACGAAAGUGGACGUAUACGGUGUGACGCCUGCCCGGUGCCGGAAGGUUAAUUGAUGGGGUUAGCGGUAACGCGAAGCUCUUGAUCGAAGCCCCGGUAAACGGCGGCCGUAACUAUAACGGUCCUAAGGUAGCGAAAUUCCUUGUCGGGUAAGUUCCGACCUGCACGAAUGGCGUAAUGAUGGCCAGGCUGUCUCCACCCGAGACUCAGUGAAAUUGAACUCGCUGUGAAGAUGCAGUGUACCCGCGGCAAGACGGAAAGACCCCGUGAACCUUUACUAUAGCUUGACACUGAACAUUGAGCCUUGAUGUGUAGGAUAGGUGGGAGGCUUUGAAGUGUGGACGCCAGUCUGCAUGGAGCCGACCUUGAAAUACCACCCUUUAAUGUUUGAUGUUCUAACGUUGGCCCGUAAUCCGGGUUGCGGACAGUGUCUGGUGGGUAGUUUGACUGGGGCGGUCUCCUCCUAAAGAGUAACGGAGGAGCACGAAGGUUGGCUAAUCCUGGUCGGACAUCAGGAGGUUAGUGCAAUGGCAUAAGCCAGCUUGACUGCGAGCGUGACGGCGCGAGCAGGUGCGAAAGCAGGUCAUAGUGAUCCGGUGGUUCUGAAUGGAAGGGCCAUCGCUCAACGGAUAAAAGGUACUCCGGGGAUAACAGGCUGAUACCGCCCAAGAGUUCAUAUCGACGGCGGUGUUUGGCACCUCGAUGUCGGCUCAUCACAUCCUGGGGCUGAAGUAGGUCCCAAGGGUAUGGCUGUUCGCCAUUUAAAGUGGUACGCGAGCUGGGUUUAGAACGUCGUGAGACAGUUCGGUCCCUAUCUGCCGUGGGCGCUGGAGAACUGAGGGGGGCUGCUCCUAGUACGAGAGGACCGGAGUGGACGCAUCACUGGUGUUCGGGUUGUCAUGCCAAUGGCACUGCCCGGUAGCUAAAUGCGGAAGAGAUAAGUGCUGAAAGCAUCUAAGCACGAAACUUGCCCCGAGAUGAGUUCUCCCUGAGACUUAGAGUCUCCUGAAGGAACGUUGAAGACGACGACGUUGAUAGGCCGGGUGUGUAAGCGCAGCGAUGCGUUGAGCUAACCGGUACUAAUGAACCGUGAGGCUUAACCUU
Molecule: ribosomal RNA, 2902 nt
Filed under: Escherichia coli O150:H6
Lineage: Bacteria; Pseudomonadati; Pseudomonadota; Gammaproteobacteria; Enterobacterales; Enterobacteriaceae
Description: 23S ribosomal RNA
Rfam family: Bacterial large subunit ribosomal RNA
Source: RNAcentral